This 4746-nucleotide long non-coding RNA is filed under the name Homo sapiens (human). RNAcentral describes it as "non-protein coding lnc-CLASP2-1:11". The record is from RNAcentral. Lineage: Eukaryota; Metazoa; Chordata; Mammalia; Primates; Hominidae.
AGCGGCGAGCGACGGCUGGCAGACAACCUACCCACUCCCAGCCCCGCGCCCACCUCAGGAGCGUCUCGAGCGCGCCCUCGUGCUUGUCCAGCGGACGACCGACUGCGGCGCGGCGCAGCUUGCUGAGCUCCUCCGCCGCGCGGCAGUACUGGGCCUGCUCUUCCCCGCCGCUUGGUGGUGUACUGAGCACUUUCACGUAAGAGUAUUCCUCCACUCGAACAACCCCCCGGAGAAGUACUGGUGUCACUGCCACCUGCGAGAGUUUGCGGCUACCUCCCCAAGAGGCAGUCCCAGGGUUAUUGUGACCUAUGAUGUUUAUUCAACUACUGUUGACGGGCUGCUGUGCACAGGGAACCUAGUAGGCAAGACCCCUGCCAUCGUGCAGCUUACUGUCAGGUUGACACAGACCUUAAGAAAGAACAAAAUUUUAAAUAAAUUAAAAACGACACCUGUAAUUUGAGAAGAUGCUUGAUAUCAGAAGAGGAGAAGAGUGGAGAGGGGUGGAGUGGCAAAGGAGAGCCUCCAAACCAAAAGCCUGCGGCAGAGGCCCUAGGAGGCAAGCACUUAACCAUGUUUCAGGACUAGAAACGAAACAUGUGACAAGACCUUUAAAAACAAAUAGAAUGGGAUGGAAUAAAGUUGGAUGAGUAAGCAGGCAUCAAAUCAUUCAGAAACUUGUUGUCCAAGUUGAAGAAUUUGUUUAGUAUUGUAUAAUAAAUGCAGAGGAAGCUAUAUACACUUAUAAUUUACAUUUUUUAAAGGCCACGUUGUAGCUCAAUCGGAUAGUUUGUCUUUUGAUGGGAUGUAGUAUACAGUAUCAUCAUGGUAUAUUCCAGGCAAAAAUAUUUAACUUGAAUCUGUCAAGCCUUUGCAUCUAACACAGUUUAUAAAAAAUACAACAGAUAGAUGAACAAACUAAAUGAUGCCAGAGGAAGUAACUAGACAGAUCCAGAAGGUGAAACAUUCUGCAGGAUAACUGGCCCAUCUCUUCAACAAUUUGUCAUGAUAAAAGCAACUGCUUUAUGAAAAGAAAUUUAAGGGACAUAACAGUUUGAAUUGGAUCCUGGUUUGAACAGACUGUCUAUAAAAUGCAUUUUCAGGACCAUUAAAGAAAUAUGAAUGUAGAUGGACUGAGUAUUGGAUAAAAUAGAACUGUAUUGCCAUGGAAAAGAUCAUUAACUGAAAAGAGCAAGUCACGAAAUAGUAUGUUACAGCAUCUCAUUUUGGUUUAAAAAUGCACAUAUAUGUAUUUAUGUACAACUAAAAAAAUAGUGGGCUUAUACCCUAAGGUGUUAGUAUUGGUAAUCUUUGGAAGUGGAAAUGUGUAUUUUUUUCUUUGUGUUUGCCUAUCUUUUUCAUUGUAACUUUUGCAGCACAUAGACUACUUUCAUUAUAGUAAAAGUUUAUUUUACCACAAUUUUUUUUUUUUUAGAAAGAGUCUCACUCUGUCACCCAGGCUGGAGUGCAGUGGCACAAUCUCAGCCCACUGCAACCUCCACCUCCCAGGUUCAAGCUAUUCUCCUGCCUCAGCCUUCUGAGUAGCUGGGACUACAGGUGCACACCACAUGCCUGGCUAAUUUUUGUAUUUUUAAUAGAGACUGGAUUUCGCGAUGUUGGCCCGGCUGGUCUCGAACUCCUGGCCUCAAGUGAUCCACCCGCUUUAGCCUCCCAAAGUGCUGGGAUUACAGGCGUGAGCCACUGCACCCGGCCUAUUUUACCACAAUUUAUAAAAAUUUUUGUUUAUUUUAAUUAAGCUAUUCUAUGUUAAAAUAAGUAGCCACCCUUGGCUGAUGCAUAAAGAAAAAAUUAGAGGAAGGAAAGAAUGGAGGCAAGGAGGCAAAUCAUGAGACCAUUUCAGAAAUCAAGACGAAAUCAGGAAAGCUAACAUUAGCAAGAGUGAACCAAACUGAUAAUAUCUUUGAGUUUAAAACUGAAGAAUUUACCAAUGAACUGCAUAGGAAAGUAAAGAAAAGAGAGUGGUCAAGAUAGGUCCUGGUUUUGGGGCCUGAACAUCUGAGUGGUUAGUAGAAUCAUUACCAGUUGAUAACCCAUGGAAGAGGGUGGGGGAUGGGUGGUGUCUUGUAGGUUGGUUGACAGGACUGACCCAUUGGGAAGAUAACGAAGAAGCAAAGUAUAUGAAAAGAGGAGAAAGGGUAACCAGAGGAGGGAGGAUACAAAGGGAGUGAUUAGCCAUCAGAAAGAUGAGGGACAUGACAUUUGUUGAGGCAGAUGGCGGAGAAAAGAAAGUUAACAUGAUGAUCUUUCUCUGCAACUUCAUAUUUUGCCUCUUGUUCCUCAUUUGUUACCACUGAGUCACAAUGGUCUUUUUAGUUUCUCAAACACACCAAGAUCUUUCUUGCCUCAUGUGACCUAGAAUGUUUUCUCCCUUUCUUCAUAUCUCAGUUGAAAGGUCUCCUCUCCUCAUCAUCAUACUAUCUAAAGUAGAUUCCCUCCCUUGUUAACCUCUAGCGCAGCCAUUAGUUCCUUCAUAACACUUACCCUAACUUGCAAGUAUUUUGUUUGUUGAUAUAAUUUUUAUCUGACUUCCCCACUAAAAUGUAAGCUCCAUGAGGGCAAAAAUUGUGUGUUUUGUAUACUGAUGCAUCUCUAGCACUUGGUAUAGCAGGCAUUCAAUAAAUAUCAUUAAAUAAGUUUCACCCUUGUAAAAAAAAAAAAUAUAUAUAUAUAAAAUAUAUUCUCUACUUCCAAAAUAACACACUUUCACCAACAACAAGCACUCCAGCUAAUUAGGCAAUAGGCCAAUAAGCAAAGAAUUAUGGUAUAUUAGUCAAGAUUGGCUAGCUUAUGUUCUGACAAUAAACAAUUUCAAAAUCUCAGUUUCAAUUUUAAACUCAAAGAUACUAAUAAACAUUUGUUCUUUGCUCACACAAAGUCUAAUAUGGAACAGGCUUAGAGUUGUCCUCCAACCAGUGUCUGAGCAAUCCAGACCACUUUGAUCUUGUAACUCUGCCAUCCCAACAUGAGAUUCCACUUUCACUGCAGAAGAGGAAAUCUGUAGCAUCAUGCAGCAGCUUGUCACUACCUCAGCCCUCCUACUUCCACUUGCAUUUCACUAGCUAGAACCUUUCACAUGGCUCCACCAAACUGCAAUGGGACUGGGAAGGGAGAAUCAGAUAUUAGGGAGCAUUUAUAAUGCCUUCCAAGGGUGUGUUUCACUGCUUCCAAACUUGCUUAUGAUGAUGUUUUUCAUUUAUGUAAUGAAAUGCCAUAUGUUCUUAGUGUGUAUUCUCAGCAUAACGAGUACAUUUGGAGAAUAUUAAGUCAGUGGACUUUCCUUCUUGAAAAUUCCUGGUUCUGGGCCUAUCAUUAACCCCACUGAUUGAACCAGUGGAAAUAGUUGCCUCUUCGAAUGGAGAGAACCCUGCUGAAGGCAGCUUUGAGUUUCAAAAUAGUGUGUUUCAAGUCCACAUGGAGACGAUAGCCUGAAAGUAAGCACUUAUGAUUUUUGGAGGAGUCUUUGUUAUUAAGGAGAAAAGAGGCUUACAGAAGUCAGAUUCAGAAGACUGUAGUAUUUUUACAAUAAAUGAGAGUAAACAGUAUAAGGAUUUGAUGUAAGGGAAGUUCCUGCAGUGCAAGAAAGAAAGUCCUUUUGGUGCUGAGCGGAACAGUCUAAGAGAGAAAAGGUGAAGAACAAAAGGAAAAUGUAAAUGUGGUAUUCACACUUCCCUACUCCACACUCAGGAUAAACCUAGAGUAUGAGGUAGAGGCGGGAAUCUAGAGGGGAGGAAGCAUAGAAUAGGAACACCCAAAUAGACUUGAUGAAACAAAAAACAUCAAGGAUGGCUCCCGUGUCACCUGGGAAGACACACUUCAUGUAAGGAAUGGAAAAAAGGCAAUGGUAAGGGACAGGGGCCCUGGAUUUUUUACAACAUGCGAUAGAGAACUAUUUGUCUCCUUAAUUUAUUUAACUUUAAAAAAUAAUAAUGAAUGAAAGAAAAAUUACCCAUUUUUCAAAUAUGGGUGUGUAAGUUUUUUCCACUUUGUACAAAAAAUUUUAAAGAAACGAAAACUGCUGAACACCUUAUAUUCAGAAUUACUCCCUGUAUAAGCCCAUUCCAAUUCCAUAUACUGCUGAUUAAAUUUCCAUCAGUUGGCAGUUCUCUAAUAUCAGUUUCACUGCUAUUUAACUAACUACUGCCCUUUGCUACCAGUGUCUCUCUUGGAUGAGAGUCACUUUACUUGAAUAAGAUAACUUCUGAGAAUAAAUCUAUGCACUAUUUUGGAAGAAUUGCUCUAUAGAGUAAAAAAUAAUUCUGGAUAAUUGAAAGUUAUCUUGUGAGUAUCUGGACAUUAAGGAUACAUUUCAAGACUCCUGUUUUCACUAAAAUCCAAUAUUUGUUUAAGCACUUCAAGUUAAAGAGGAGCACCUUCCCCUUUCACCCUGACUAUCGUUGUUAAUUCGUUUUUGAAGCUAUAUAAGAACGUUUCUUUAAUCGGUUUUCCCUUAGGCAUACAUUAGCUCUCUGUUCAAGACUUAGUAGCAGAGAGUAGUAAGUAAAUGGUUAUUAGUGGUUCUUCAUAUAAAACACAUUUGAGUUUCUUAGAAGAAAACUAUGCAUAAAGAUUACUUUCAGAUAUCAUGUCUGUAGUUCGUUAAUAGAGAAGUUUCUCUGAACGUGUGGAACACUGUAAUAAGAUAAAUAAAUUUUUAAAAAGAAAAAGUAAGCAUAUAUACAAAAUGUAUGUAAUUUCAUUUGUCUUCACUUAUUUAAUAUUUAUAACCAU